AGUUGGUCGGUUGAAGGAUGGUCUAAACUGUUGGUUUUCGACCACUACAACCCGGGUUCGAUUCCCGCAUUGACAC
Molecule: transfer RNA, 76 nt
Filed under: Cordylochernes scorpioides
Lineage: Eukaryota; Metazoa; Arthropoda; Arachnida; Pseudoscorpiones; Chernetidae
Description: tRNA-Glu
Source: RNAcentral